RNAcentral lists this ribosomal RNA (459 nucleotides) under uncultured bacterium. RNAcentral's name for it is "partial 16S ribosomal RNA". It matches the Rfam family "Bacterial small subunit ribosomal RNA", at positions 338 to 795 of the family's 1533-position model. The record is from RNAcentral.
CCUACGGGAGGCAGCAGUGAGGAAUAUUGGUCAAUGGUCGGGAGACUGAACCAGCCAAGCCGCGUGAGGGAUGAAGGUACAGAGUAUCGUAAACCUCUUUUGUCAGGGAACAAAGGCGGGGACGUGUCCCCGGAUGAGUGUACCUGAAGAAAAAGCAUCGGCUAACUCCGUGCCAGCAGCCGCGGUAAUACGGAGGAUGCGAGCGUUAUCCGGAUUUAUUGGGUUUAAAGGGUGCUAAGGCGGGCUUUUAAGUCAGCGGGCAAAGCCCGGGGCUAAACCCGGGCCCGCCGUUGAAACUGGCAGUCUCGAGUUGGAGAGAAGUAUGCGGAAUGCGCGGUGUAGCGGUGAAAUGAAUAGAUAUCGCGCAGAACUCCGAUUGCGAAGGCAGCAUGCCGGCUCCACACUGACGCUGAGGCACGAAAGCGUGGGUAUCGAACAGGAUUAGAUACCCUAGUAGUC